GCCAGUGGGGGCCGUUGCCCUCGGGUCUCCGUCCGGGGCGCCCUUUCCUUCUGCCCAGUGGCUUGGCGCGUCCGGGUCACAUCUGUGCUCUCGCAGAGCGGACCUCUGGGCCUCUUCUGCCCGCGACCCGAGCCCCGAUGGGGCCCUGGCCUGGGGUCUCCAGCCGCCUUCCCAGGGUCUGUCCCGGGCUUCUCCAGCGCCCACCGUGCCGCGAUCUUAUGUUGCCACAGCGACGGCUUCAUUUCUCUUUGCCUCUUUCAAGCAACCAUACCGCCAGGUCUCCCCCCCCGAGUCUGCUGCUUGUAGGGCCAGGUCCCGGGCUCCGAGCGGACUCUCGCCCCGUCCCAGCCUCCUCUUCCUGCCCGGGUUUCCCAGAGAGGGCUUCCGGCUCAUCUGUGACUUGCUUGCCGUGCAGCUGCCAGGCUGCAGCUCCAGGGCCUCAGGGGCGAAGGUGGUCUCUCCAGUUUCUUGCCGGUGGAGCACCAUCCUCACCGAGCUGCACAGCGGAGCUCUUCAUUGCUGGGGCCGGAGAAGGGAGCAGAGGAGGCCCCCAGCUGCCUUUCAUCGCUCCAGCGUGGAGAGACACGAGGUGCUUCUGCUGGGCCGCACUGGCCAGUUAGUCCUGUGCUCACCUAACAGCCGGGGUCUGCAGGGGCCGAUCAGCUCCCGGAAGAAGAGAGCUGGGCAUAGCGAGCACUUGAAGUGUCCACCACAAUGGCCCCAGACAUUUUGUUGACUCAAAUCUCCCGGAGCCCCUGGCCCUGGCUGUGGGAUGGACCCACAUCCCUGUACGCAUCCUGUCCUCCCCUUUCACGAGAUGGGCAGGAGUGGGCUGCAGAAACGCAGGCUGGCUGCCGUCCCGCCCUUUCCCCCUGCCAGGACUGGGUGCUCCUUCGGGAAUGAGGAAGCCCUCGGGCUGGGCUCAGAAUGGAGAGUCCAGCGUCAUCCCAAGACGCUGUCAGCCCCUGCCCAGGGCCGUCUGCUGGAGACGAGUCCCUCCCCUUGCUGUGCUGCGGGCGGCUUCCCCAGGCUCCCCAGUCCUGGGCCAGGCUGAAGCCCCGGGAGUGUGAGCAGACUGGCUCUCAGGGCUGCCCGCUUGGGGCGUCCUCAGCCUCUGUCUGUCUGCAGCACGCAGAGCUUUGGCCGUCGGCUGCAGUGCAGCCAGGGGCCUGAGUUACCUCAUCUCGUCCACACUCGCGUGGCCAAAGCCUGUCGCAGACAAAACACCAAUAAAUGCCCGGGCCCGGGAAACAGGGCUGAGGAGUGGGAAGCAAGCUUGUUC
Non-coding RNA from Heterocephalus glaber (naked mole-rat), 1282 nucleotides. NCBI's taxonomy places the organism in Eukaryota, Metazoa, Chordata, Mammalia, Rodentia, Bathyergidae. The record is from RefSeq and is a predicted model, not a curated record.